Carassius carassius (crucian carp) is the source of this 1120-nucleotide long non-coding RNA. RefSeq lists it as uncharacterized. Lineage: Eukaryota; Metazoa; Chordata; Actinopteri; Cypriniformes; Cyprinidae. The transcript is spliced from 3 exons. The record is from RefSeq and is a predicted model, not a curated record.
AUGUAGAGUCCCUAUAAGCGUUCUGAUGAGUGGGCUGCUCAGAUUUUUCUGUAAGGCGACUGGCAUCUAUCCAGAGUACCUGCGCGAGAGUUUCAGCAUUCAGUGGAAUAGAAUCAGACAGAAAGUGCAGGGACGACGAGUCCUGCCCAGCGGAUUGACCUUAUGAAUUGUGAAUGUGAAAAACUAGCAACUGUGCCAAGAAGAACAAAGGGCAUCUGAGGACAGUCACUCACAGCUCGGACUAUCUAAUGUAUACUCUGCACAUGACACCCAAUUCACAGAGGAACGACGGUGAAAGAGCUAGACAGGACCACCUAGAGUUGUCAGUAAACAAUGGUUCACCCGCAAGGUCGCUGGACGCGGCAGAAAAGCUGAUGGAAAAGCUAAUUAUACGGUGCGGCUCUCCGUGGAACAGCCAUCAUUAGCACUGGCCACCAAACAUCACAUGGCAGGUGAAUUCUGAUCUCCUCUGCCCAACCUGAGAGGGACACGGAGGUGUGUGUCUCCUGUAGCAUGCGGCGGUCAUGUGGAGGGAGGAGGAAACUAAUGGAGCAUGAUAAACAAAGUCUCAUAAAUGUAUAGGGUUCAUGGUCAGGCAUGUCUCACUCGCAGGUCAUCAGCCGUGCUGCUCUCACCUCUCACCUGAUUGGCCUCUCAGUGGACUUAAACAGCCAAUCAGCAGGUUUCAGUCCAUUAACCACAAAUAAACAGAGAAAGUUCAAUAAUCCAAUAAUGCACUGUGGAGAAAAACACCGACUCGUUCAUUCAUUGGGAUGCCUGUCUGUUCACUGCUUUGAUAAAUACGCCACAAUUGUUUCGAAAGAAAAUAUCAAACUAAAAAAGAUGAUGAUAAUAAUAAUAAAAGAUUAUUUUGCAUCUAUGGUGAGUAAAAGUAUUCAUAAAAUAAGUAUUUAUAUUUAAAAAAAAAAGUGUAUUAGUUUCCACAAAAAAGAAACAAAUUAAUAAUGAUAAGACUAUUAAUAAUUCUUCUUCUUCCAUUUCUUAUUAUGUAUUUAUUUAUUUGAAUUUUUUUAUUUGUCUGACUUAUAAAUUAUUGCUGGCACUAAGUUAUUAAUAACAGUUAUUAUUAUCAGUGUUGAAAACAGUAUUUACUGCUUGC